RNAcentral lists this transfer RNA (56 nucleotides) under Dirofilaria repens. RNAcentral's name for it is "tRNA-Cys". RNAcentral also lists the same sequence under 1 other name. Lineage: Eukaryota; Metazoa; Nematoda; Chromadorea; Rhabditida; Onchocercidae. The record is from RNAcentral.
GGGUUUUUAGUAUAAUUUUAUUAUAAUUGAUUGCAGAUCAUUUGAUUUAUAGCCUU